UGCGGAGGGAUCAUUACUGAGUUUACGCUCUACAACCCUUUGUGAACAUACCUAUAACUGUUGCUUCGGCGGGUAGGGUCUCCGUGACCCUCCCGGCCUCCCGCCCCCGGGCGGGUCGGCGCCCGCCGGAGGAUAACCAAACUCUGAUUUAACGACGUUUCUUCUGAGUGGUACAAGCAAAUAAUCAAAACUUUUAACAACGGAUCUCUUGGUUCUGGCAUCGAUGAAGAACGCAGCGAAAUGCGAUAAGUAAUGUGAAUUGCAGAAUUCAGUGAAUCAUCGAAUCUUUGAACGCACAUUGCGCCCGCCAGCAUUCUGGCGGGCAUGCCUGUUCGAGCGUCAUUUCAACCCUCAAGCUCUGCUUGGUGUUGGGGCCCUACGGCUGACGUAGGCCCUCAAAGGUAGUGGCGGACCCUCCCGGAGCCUCCUUUGCGUAGUAACUUUACGUCUCGCACUGGGAUCCGGAGGGACUCUUGCCGUAAAACCCCCAAUUUUCCAAAGGUUGACCUCGGAUCAGGUAGGAAUACCCGCUGAACUUAAGCAUAUCAA
This 549-nucleotide ribosomal RNA is filed under the name Colletotrichum gloeosporioides. RNAcentral describes it as "eukaryotic LSU rRNA". The stretch from base 189 to 342 matches the Rfam family "5.8S ribosomal RNA". The record is from RNAcentral. Lineage: Eukaryota; Fungi; Ascomycota; Sordariomycetes; Glomerellales; Glomerellaceae.